GAUCCUGGCUCAGAACGAACGCUGGCGGCAGGCUUAACACAUGCAAGUUGAACGGGAUUUGUGUGGUGCUUGCACCAUAUAAUGAGAGUAGCGCACUGGUGAGUAACACGUGGGAACGUGCCUUUUAGUGGGGGAUAACAUCUGGAAACGGAUGCUAAUACCGCAUACGCCCUGAGGGGGAAAGAUUUAUUGCUAAGAGGUCGGCCCGCGGUAGAUUAGGCAGUUGGUGGGGUAAAGGCCUACCAAAACCAUACG
Molecule: ribosomal RNA, 255 nt
Filed under: uncultured bacterium
Lineage: Bacteria
Description: partial 16S ribosomal RNA
Rfam family: Bacterial small subunit ribosomal RNA
Source: RNAcentral